UACAGAGGUCUCAAGCGUUGUUCGGAUUCAUUGGGCGUAAAGGGUGCGUAGGCGGCUUGUCGCGUCGGCUGUGAAAACCCGUGGCUCAACCAUGUGGUCUGCAGUCGAUACGGGCAGGCUAGAAUUCGGUAGGGGAGACUGGAAUUCCUGGUGUAGCGGUGAAAUGCGCAGAUAUCAGGAGGAACACCGGUGGCGAAGGCGGGUCUCUGGGCCGAUAUUGACGCUGAGGAGCGAAAGCGUGGGGAGCGAACAGG
RNAcentral lists this ribosomal RNA (254 nucleotides) under uncultured bacterium. RNAcentral describes it as "partial 16S ribosomal RNA". It matches the Rfam family "Bacterial small subunit ribosomal RNA", at positions 524 to 776 of the family's 1533-position model. The record is from RNAcentral.